This 108-nucleotide ribosomal RNA is filed under the name Jaculus jaculus (lesser Egyptian jerboa). Lineage: Eukaryota; Metazoa; Chordata; Mammalia; Rodentia; Dipodidae. The record is from RNAcentral.
GUCUAUAGUCAUAUCACCCUGAACAUGCUUGAUCUUGACUGAUCUCAGAAGCCAAGCAGGGUCAGGCCUGGUUAGUACUUGGACAGAAGAGGCCAGAACAGUGUGACC